RNAcentral lists this ribosomal RNA (421 nucleotides) under uncultured archaeon. RNAcentral's name for it is "partial 16S ribosomal RNA". It matches the Rfam family "Archaeal small subunit ribosomal RNA", at positions 323 to 746 of the family's 1478-position model. The record is from RNAcentral.
CUACGGGUGGCAGCAGUUACGAAAACUUCGCAAUGCUCUAGCGAGCGACGAGGGAACCUGGAGUGUUCAUGCUCUGCAUGAACUUUUGUCCACUGCAAACAGGUGGACGAAUAAGGGGUGGGUAAUACGAGUGCCAGCCGCCGCGGUAAUACUCGAGCCCCGAGUGGUAUCCACGAUUAGUGGGUUUAAAGCGUCCGUAGCCGGUUUAGUAAGUCCCUAGUGAAAUUCUUUGGUAAACUGAAGAGCUUGCUGGGGAUACUACUGAACUUGGGACUGGGAGAGGGUAGAUGUACUCCUAGGGGAUGGGUAAAAUCCUAUAAUCCUAGGGGGACGACCUGUGGCGAAGGCUUCUACCUAGAACAGGUUCGACGGUGAGGGACGAAACCUAGGGGAGCGAUCGGGAUUAGAUACCCCCGUAGUC